GGUCCAUCAUCCUUGCACACACUCAAAAGCAUUGAUAAAUGCUGAAUUUAAAAGAAUCACUACUGUCUAAUGUUCCUGCGUGUCACCUGGACCUCCAAUCCAAAAACCUGAUGAAACUCUUCUAUCAGAAAGGAGGACAGCUAGCAAAAAGGCUUGGAACAAUGAAUGAUCAAAUGACAGAAGGCAUGGAUGAAGUCAGCAUCAGUGAGGUCAUUUGAAGACACCACUGUUGGGAUUUGUGCUCUCAAACAACAUGCUUCUUGUGAUGAAGAAGAGGAUCUUUGUAUAGUCCUGGAAGGCAUGAAGGUGUUGCAACAUCGUGCCAUGUUGUUUGAGCUGAUGUAUGCCUUAAACCUGAGCUAUCCUGAUCUCCGCUUUAUUUUUGAGGAAAUCCAAAAGAUUUUAAUGGAACUGCAUUGAGCGUAACUUUAACAAACAGUUUCUUUCAGUGAAAGGAUCAGAAAGACUGUGCUGCUCAUUUAUGUUCCUUUUAUUUAUCUUUUUUAAGUGUUUUCUCUUAUUAAAACAUUAACCGUUUGCUGCUCAGAGUUGAUUUUGGAAAUGGUUGUUGUAUUUUGUUUUUGUUAAAUCUUUGAUUAUCAGUUUAUACAAAUGCUGUAGCUCUGACUUUCUGAAGGAUUGAUAUUUUCCAGUUUGUAAAUCCAUUUAAAAAAUAAUAGUACUUACUGUUUUGCAUGUCUCUUUGGAAUGCAAGUGUUUGUGUUUUAGCACUUCUAAAUCUACUGUGAUAGUAACUAUUUUAAACAUUUGGGUCAGUUUUACAGAUGGGGCUUUUCCUAGUCCCA
Molecule: non-coding RNA, 806 nt
Organism: Paramisgurnus dabryanus
Lineage: Eukaryota; Metazoa; Chordata; Actinopteri; Cypriniformes; Cobitidae
Source: RefSeq, a predicted model, not a curated record